GAGGAAACAGCCUGGCUCAACAUCACUGUCUUUGCAGCAGAAAUCCACAAUCGGCAUCAGGAAGCCAAAGUCCCAGUGGCCAUUAGGGUCCUUGACGUCAAUGAUAAUGCUCCCAAGUUUGCUGCCCCUUAUGAAGGUUUCAUCUGUGAGAGUGAUCAGACCAAACCACUUUCCAACCAGCCAAUUGUUACAAUUAGUGCAGAUGACAAGGAUGACACAGCCAAUGGACCAAGAUUUAUCUUCAGCCUACCCCCUGAAAUCAUUCACAAUCCAAAUUUCACAGUCAGAGACAACCGAGCCCGAGCUUCAAAGCCGACUCAGCAGGCAGCAGGAAAAUAGAACACUGGAUGAUUCUUCAACAUUUAAGUCCAUCUUGGGCUAUUAAUAUCAGGAAUGGUGCUGUUUGGGCAGAUGAAGAGCUGGUCCACCCAGGUUU
Molecule: small RNA, 436 nt
Filed under: Pongo abelii (Sumatran orangutan)
Lineage: Eukaryota; Metazoa; Chordata; Mammalia; Primates; Hominidae
Description: processed transcript
Source: RNAcentral